AUGACGAGAGUGAAGAAUAGUUACUAUGUACUUCCUAGAGAACCUGAGCCGAAGCGUACCGUGUCAAACACUCACAGCAUUGGGAAGGUGAUGUUCCUAACAGCUAUUGCCAAGCCUCGAUAUAACAAUGAGGGGGAGCUAACAUUCGACGGGAAGAUUGGCAUUUGGGCAUUCGUUGAAGAGACUGAGGCGAAGCGGACAAGUCAUAACAGAACAAAGGGAACAAAAGUGUUGACAUCAGUGAAAGUAACUAGGCCUGUGUGUAGAGAUUAUCUAAUCAAUAAGGUUAUCCCGGCAAUUCAGGAUAAGUGGCCUGACGAUGACGAGGGAGCAACAAUAUUCAUCCAACAGGAUAAUGCAAAGCCCCAUGUCCUUCCCAAUGAUGUAGCUUUUCGAGAAGCUGUGGAACAAACUGAUCUUGACAUCCGAUUGCUACGACAGCCCCCAAAUAGCCCUGAGUUAAAUUGUUUGGACCUCUGCUUCCAUACCUCUCUCCAGUCUCUAACUGACUGCAGGUCACCUACAAACAUCUAG
Molecule: ribosomal RNA, 534 nt
Filed under: Triticum aestivum (bread wheat)
Lineage: Eukaryota; Viridiplantae; Streptophyta; Magnoliopsida; Poales; Poaceae
Description: partial small subunit ribosomal RNA
Source: RNAcentral